This 1466-nucleotide ribosomal RNA is filed under the name uncultured Bordetella sp. RNAcentral describes it as "partial 16S-23S ribosomal RNA intergenic spacer". It matches the Rfam family "Bacterial small subunit ribosomal RNA". Lineage: Bacteria; Pseudomonadati; Pseudomonadota; Betaproteobacteria; Burkholderiales; Alcaligenaceae. The record is from RNAcentral.
GGUUUGAUUAUGGCUCAGAUUGAACGCUGGCGGAUCAGCACCUGUGCAAGUCGAACGGCAGCACGGACUUCGGUCUGGUGGCGAGUGGCGAACGGGUGGUAAUGUAUCGGAACGUGCUAGUAGCGGGGGAUAACUACGCAGAAAGCGUAGCUAAUACAUACGCCCUUCGGGGAAAGCGGGGGACCUUCGGGCCUCGCACUAUUAGAGCGGCCGAUAUCGGAUUAGCUAGUUGGUGGGGUAACGGCUCGCAGGAAAGGGCGAUCCGUAGCUGGUUUGAAGGACGAUAACCACUGGGACUGAGACACGGCCCAGACUCCUACAGGAGGCAGCAGUGGGGAAUUUCCCGGACAGUGGGGAAACCUGAUCCAGCCAUCCCGCGUGUGCGAUGAAGGCCUUCGGGUUGUAGCUUGCGCAGCGGGAAAGAAACGGCACGGGAUAAUACCCCGUGCAACUGACAGUACCUGCAGAAUAAGCACCGGCUAACUACAGUGCCAGCAGCCGCGGUAAUGCGUAGGGUGCAGGCGUUAAUCGGAAUUACUGGGCGUAAAGCGUGCGCGAGCGGUUCGGAAGAAGAUGUGAAAUCCCAGAGCUUAACUUUGAACUGCAUUUUUAACUACCGAGCUAGAGUGUGUCAGAGGGAGGUGGAAUUCCGCGUGUAGCAGUGAAAUGCACGUAGAUAUGCGGAGGAGCACCGAUGGCGAAGGCAGCCUCCUGGGAUAACACUGACGCUCAUGCACGAAAGCGUGGGAGCAAACAGGAUUAGAUGCCCUGGUGGUCCACGCCCUAAACGUGUCAACUAGCUGUUGGGGCCUUCCGGGCCUUGUGUACAACUAACGCGUGAAGUUGACCGCCUGGGAAUACGGUCGCAAGAUUAAAACUCAAGGAAUUGACGGGGACCCGCACAAGCGGUGGAUGAUGUGGAUUAAUUCGAUGCAACGCAAAAGCCUUACCUACACAUGACAUGUCACCAAGUCCGAAGAGAUUUGGGAGUGCUCAUGAAGAACGGAACACAGGUGCUGCAUGGCUGUCGUCAGCUCGUGUCGUGAGAUGUUGGAUUGAUCCCGCAACAGCGCAACCUUGUCAUUAGUUGCUACGAAAGGGCACUCUAAUGAGACUGCCGAAGUGACAAACCGGAAAGGUGGGGAUGACGUCAAGUCCUCAUGAGCACUAUGGGUAGGGCUUCACACGUCAUACAAUGGUCGGGACAGAGGGUCGCCAACCCGCAGGAGAGCCAAUCCCAGAAACCCGAUCGUAGUCCGGAUCGCGGUCUGCCAGCUCGACUGCGUGAAGUCAGAAUCCGCUAGUAAUCGCGGAUCAGCAUGUCGCGGUGAAUACGAUUCCCGGGUCUUGCUACCACGCCCGUCCACCAUGGGGGUGGUUUUACCAGAAGUAGUUAGCCUAACCGUAAGGAGGGCGAUUACCACGGUAGGAUUCAUGACUGGGGAGGUGAAGUCGUAACAAGGUAA